This 460-nucleotide ribosomal RNA is filed under the name uncultured bacterium. RNAcentral describes it as "partial 16S ribosomal RNA". It matches the Rfam family "Bacterial small subunit ribosomal RNA", at positions 338 to 795 of the family's 1533-position model. The record is from RNAcentral.
CCUACGGGGUGCAGCAGUGAGGAAUAUUGGUCAAUGGGCGCAAGCCUGAACCAGCCAAGUCGCGUGAAGGAUGACUGCUCUAUGGGUUGUAAACUUCUUUUAUAAAGGAAUAAAGUGCGGUACGUGUCCCUUUUUGUAUGUACCUUAUGAAUAAGGAUCGGCUAACUCCGUGCCAGCAGCCGCGGUAAUACGGAGGAUCCGAGCGUUAUCCGGAUUUAUUGGGUUUAAAGGGUGCGUAGACGGUUUGUUAAGUCAGUGGUGAAAGUUUGCGGCUCAACCGUAAAAUUGCAAUUGAUACUGGCAGUCUUGAGUAUAGUUGAGGUAGGCGGAAUUCGUGGUGUAGCGGUGAAAUGCUUAGAGAUCACGAAGAACUCCGAUUGCGAAGGCAGCUUACUAAACUAUCACUGACAUUGAUGCACGAAAGUGUGGGUAUCAAACAGGAUUAGAUACCCUUGUAGUC